This 68-nucleotide transfer RNA is filed under the name Marmota monax (woodchuck). RNAcentral describes it as "tRNA.Thr". Lineage: Eukaryota; Metazoa; Chordata; Mammalia; Rodentia; Sciuridae. The record is from RNAcentral.
GUGGUGGCUCAGUGGUAGAGCGUUCGCCUAGUGUAUGUGAGGCCUGGAGUUCGAUCCUCAACACCACA